UGAGCCUAGCACCUGAUCAGUGGAGAGCUGUGGAUUGCAUGUUUGUUUGCCAUUGCCCCCGCCACCCUGCAAGUUGCACCUUCUAGAAUCAGCAAGCCAAGCUCCUCUCACCCAGCGUAAUGAUGCGGAAAUGCAAAUGCACCAUCAUGUUGUGACCCAUAUUGCGAAAAUUAGAAAAAAGGAAGUUGUGUUUCGCUAUUGCACGAAGUUCAGCCCAGAGGAGAAACUCGCUCGCCUUCAGAAGACAGUACCUCCUAAAUGGCUCUACUUUGAACCUGCUGGGCAAGGAAGAGAUUUUCAAGGAAACCAUAUACCGUGUGCGAGCUCCUGCCGGCCAACCCCAGACCCCAGCACGGAGCCAGGCGCCUGUGCCCGCCGACCCUCAGCACCCUCCUCAGAAAGGCUGGUGGCAUCAGGAAGCCCCUGGCCAGCCUCCACCUGAGCCCAGUGAGCUCAGCUUUAAGGAUGGAGUCAGGCAGGGGGUCCUCAACCCCUCCAGGACCCAUUGCUGCCCUAGGGAUGCCAGACACUGGGCCUGGCAGUUCCUCCCUAGGGAAGCUUCAGGCGCUCCCUGUUGGGCCCAGAGCCCACUGUGGGGACCCUGUCAGCCUGGCUGCAGCAGGGGAUGGCUCUCCAGACACAGGCCCCACGGGAGAGCUGAGUGGUAGCUUAAAGAUCCCCAACCGGGACAGCGGGAUUGACAGUCCAUCCUCCAGUGUGGCUGGAGAGAACUUUCCCUGCGAGGAGGGCUUGGAGGCUGGCCCAAGCCCCACUGUACUGGGGGCGCACGCAGAGAUGGCCCUGGACAGCCAGGUCCCAAAGGUCACCCCCCAGGAGGAGGCGGACAGCGACGUGGGUGAGGAACCUGACUCUGAGAACACCCCCCAGAAGGCUGACAAGGAUGCCGGCCUGGCCCAG
RNAcentral lists this small RNA (918 nucleotides) under Pan troglodytes (chimpanzee). RNAcentral's name for it is "processed transcript". Lineage: Eukaryota; Metazoa; Chordata; Mammalia; Primates; Hominidae. The record is from RNAcentral.